This 426-nucleotide ribosomal RNA is filed under the name uncultured bacterium. Its description in RNAcentral is "partial 16S ribosomal RNA". It matches the Rfam family "Bacterial small subunit ribosomal RNA", at positions 354 to 796 of the family's 1533-position model. The record is from RNAcentral.
GUGAGGAAUUUUCCGCGAUGGGCGAAAGCCUGACGGAGCAAUGCCGCGUGAAGGAUGAAGGCCUAUGGGUUGUAAACUUCUUUUCUCAGAAAAGAAUUAUGACGGUAUCUGAGGAAUAAGCAUCGGCUAACUCUGUGCCAGCAGCCGCGGUAAGACAGAGGAUGCAAGCGUUAUCCGGAAUGAUUGGGCGUAAAGCGUCUGUAGGUUGUUUAAAAAGUAUUCUGUCAAAGAUUAGGGCUUAACCCUAGAUAGGCAGAAUAAACUUUUAAGCUAGAGUUUGGUAGAGGCAGAGGGAAUUCCCGGUGGAGCGGUGAAAUGCGUAGAUAUCGGGAGGAACACCAAAGGCGAAGGCACUCUGCUGGGCCAAUACUAACACUGAGAGACGAAAGCGAGGGGAGCAAAUGGGAUUAGAUACCCGUGUAGUCC